RNAcentral lists this ribosomal RNA (40 nucleotides) under Cortinarius papaver. RNAcentral's name for it is "partial 28S ribosomal RNA". The record is from RNAcentral. Lineage: Eukaryota; Fungi; Basidiomycota; Agaricomycetes; Agaricales; Cortinariaceae.
AUGUGACCUCAAAUCAGGUAGAACUACCCGCUGAACUUAA